AAGACAGUUGUCUAGACAGAUGUGUACACAAGGCGGUGUACAAUGGUGAAACAAACACGCAUACAUAGCAGACAACCUCCAGCACACAGUUCGAGUUCGACUCUGCUUUCAAACUUUGAUGUGAAAAUGAUGCAAUGAUAUGGAAAGUAAGUCGAUGAAAGAGAAAAUAAUGCAAUACAAUGGAAAGUGAGAUGAUACAAUGGAAAGGUAUAAGGUGGAACUGAAAGUGAUGCAAUGAAUUCUAUUUAAAGAUAGUCGAUCACUCACUGUGUCCUGGGAAGUUGUAUCCGU
Biomphalaria pfeifferi is the source of this 291-nucleotide non-coding RNA. NCBI's taxonomy places the organism in Eukaryota, Metazoa, Mollusca, Gastropoda, Planorbidae. The record is from the annotation of a GenBank genome assembly.